This 111-nucleotide ribosomal RNA is filed under the name Caerostris darwini. Lineage: Eukaryota; Metazoa; Arthropoda; Arachnida; Araneae; Araneidae. The record is from RNAcentral.
AUGGCCGUACCAUGCUGAAUAUACCGGUUCUCGUUAGAUCACUGAAGUCAAGCAUCAUUGGGUGCGGUCAGUACUUGGGUGGGGGACCAGCUGGGAACACCGCGUGCCGUU